AGUGGCAAACGGGUGAGUAACACGUAAACAACCUGCCUUCAGGAUGGGGACAACAGACGGAAACGACUGCUAAUACCGAAUACCUGAAGAGGGGUUUGCGUCUGAUUAGGUAGUUGGUGAGGUAACGGCCCACCAAGCCGACGAUCAGUAGCCGGUCUGAGAGGAUGAACGCCCACACUGGAACUGAGACACGGUCCAGACUCCUACGGGAGGCAGCAGUGGGGAAUCUUCCGCAAUGGGCGAAAGCCUGACGGAGCAACGCCGCGUGAGUGAUGACGGCCUUCGGGUUGUAAAGCUCUGUGAUCGGGGACGCGGUACCCGAAUAGCAAGCCACGGCUAACUACGUGCCAGCAGCCGCGGUAAUACGUAGGUGGCAAGCGUUGUCCGGAAUUAUUGGGCGUAAAGCGCGCGCAGGCGGUUCUUAAGUCCAUCUUAAAAGUGCGGGGCUUAACCCCGUGAUGGGAUGGAAACUGAGAGCUGGAGUAUCGGAGAGGAAAGUGGAAUUCCUAGUGUAGCGGUGAAAUGCGUA
This 529-nucleotide ribosomal RNA is filed under the name uncultured bacterium. Its description in RNAcentral is "bacterial SSU rRNA". It matches the Rfam family "Bacterial small subunit ribosomal RNA", at positions 94 to 692 of the family's 1533-position model. The record is from RNAcentral.